Molecule: ribosomal RNA, 376 nt
Filed under: uncultured bacterium
Lineage: Bacteria
Description: bacterial SSU rRNA
Rfam family: Bacterial small subunit ribosomal RNA
Source: RNAcentral
ACGGAGGGUGCGAGCGUUAAUCGGAAUUACUGGGCGUAAAGGGCGCGUAGGCGGCCGAUCAAGUCAGAUGUGAAAGCCCACGGCUUAACCGUGUGAAGUGCAUCUGAAACUGGUCGGCUUGAGUAUCGGAGAGGAAAGUGGAAUUCCCGGUGUAGAGGUGAAAUUCGUAGAUAUCGGGAGGAAUACCGGUGGCGAAGGCGACUUUCUGGACGAAUACUGACGCUGAGGCGCGAAAGCGUGGGGAGCAAACAGGAUUAGAUACCCUGGUAGUCCACAGCUGUAAACGAUGUGCACUAGAUGUGGGGAAGUGUUGACCUUUCCUGUGUCGCAGCUAACGCAUUAAGUGCACCGCCUGGGGAGUACGGCCGCAAGGUUA